This 86-nucleotide transfer RNA is filed under the name Aureliella helgolandensis. RNAcentral describes it as "Planctomycetes bacterium Q31a tRNA-Ser". It matches the Rfam family "tRNA". Rfam says of the family: Transfer RNA (tRNA) molecules are approximately 80 nucleotides in length. Their secondary structure includes four short double-helical elements and three loops (D, anti-codon, and T loops). The record is from RNAcentral. Lineage: Bacteria; Pseudomonadati; Planctomycetota; Planctomycetia; Pirellulales; Pirellulaceae.
GGAUGGGUGGCAGAGUGGUCUAAUGCGGCGGUCUUGAAAACCGCUGUACCGCAAGGUACCGGGGGUUCGAAUCCCUCCCCAUCCGC